Molecule: ribosomal RNA, 665 nt
Filed under: Microbispora sp.
Lineage: Bacteria; Bacillati; Actinomycetota; Actinomycetes; Streptosporangiales; Streptosporangiaceae
Description: bacterial SSU rRNA
Rfam family: Bacterial small subunit ribosomal RNA
Source: RNAcentral
GGCCCUUCGGGGUACUCGAGCGGCGAACGGGUGAGUAACACGUGAGUAACCUGCCCCUGACUCUGGGAUAAGCCUGGGAAACCGGGUCUAAUACCGGAUACGACCAUUUCUCGCAUGGGAUGGUGGUGGAAAGUUUUUUCGGUUGGGGAUGGGCUCGCGGCCUAUCAGCUUGUUGGUGGGGUGAUGGCCUACCAAGGCGACGACGGGUAGCCGGCCUGAGAGGGCGACCGGCCACACUGGGACUGAGACACGGCCCAGACUCCUACGGGAGGCAGCAGUGGGGAAUAUUGCGCAAUGGGCGGAAGCCUGACGCAGCGACGCCGCGUGGGGGAUGACGGCCUUCGGGUUGUAAACCUCUUUCAGCAGGGACGAAGUUGACGUGUACCUGUAGAAGAAGCGCCGGCUAACUACGUGCCAGCAGCCGCGGUAAUACGUAGGGCGCGAGCGUUGUCCGGAAUUAUUGGGCGUAAAGAGCUCGUAGGUGGCUUGUCGCGUCUGCCGUGAAAGCCCGUGGCUUAACUACGGGUCUGCGGUGGAUACGGGCAGGCUAGAGGCUGGUAGGGGCAAGCGGAAUUCCUGGUGUAGCGGUGAAAUGCGCAGAUAUCAGGAGGAACACCGGUGGCGAAGGCGGCUUGCUGGGCCAGUUCUGACGCUGAGGAGCGAAA